AUACGGAGGAUGCAAGCGUUAUCCGGAUUUAUUGGGUUUAAAGGGUGCGUAGGCGGGAAGAUAAGUCAGUGGUGAAAUCCUGCAGCUUAACUGUAGAAUUGCCGUUGAUACUAUUUUUCUUGAGUGUGGUCAAGGAAGGCGGAAUGUGUAAUGUAGCGGUGAAAUGCUUAGAUAUUACACAGAACACCGAUUGCGAAGGCAGCUUUCUGGGCCGUUACUGACGCUGAUGCACGAAAGCGUGGGGAUCGAACAGGAUUAGAUACCCCCGUA
Molecule: ribosomal RNA, 270 nt
Filed under: uncultured prokaryote
Description: partial 16S ribosomal RNA
Rfam family: Bacterial small subunit ribosomal RNA
Source: RNAcentral